Molecule: long non-coding RNA, 147 nt
Organism: Leopardus geoffroyi (Geoffroy's cat)
Lineage: Eukaryota; Metazoa; Chordata; Mammalia; Carnivora; Felidae
Exons: 3
Source: RefSeq, a predicted model, not a curated record
GGGUGAUACUGACCUUAUAGAAUGUAUUUAGAAGAUUUCCUUCCUCUUAUGUUUUUUGAUAAUAGUUUGAGGAAAAUUGGUAUUGACUCUUCUUUAAAUGCAGAUAAACUUUGGGGCACCUGGGUGGCCCAGUCCGUUGAGCGUCCA